ACCUGAGGAAUCAGCAUCGGCUAACUCCGUGCCAGCAGCCGCGGUAAUACGGAGGAUGCAAGCGUUAUCCGGAAUUAUUGGGCGUAAAGCGUCCGCAGGCGGCCUAUCAAGUCUGCUGUUAAAGGUCGGGGCUCAACUCCGGUUAGGCAGUGGAAACUGAUAGGCUAGAGUACGGUAGGGGUAGAGGGAAUUCCCAGUGUAGCGGUGAAAUGCGUAGAUAUUGGGAAGAACACCAGUGGCGAAG
This 244-nucleotide ribosomal RNA is filed under the name Halomicronema sp. CCMR0085. RNAcentral describes it as "partial 16S ribosomal RNA". It matches the Rfam family "Bacterial small subunit ribosomal RNA", at positions 477 to 720 of the family's 1533-position model. Lineage: Bacteria; Bacillati; Cyanobacteriota; Cyanophyceae; Nodosilineales; Nodosilineaceae. The record is from RNAcentral.